Molecule: long non-coding RNA, 608 nt
Organism: Passer domesticus (house sparrow)
Lineage: Eukaryota; Metazoa; Chordata; Aves; Passeriformes; Passeridae
Exons: 3
Source: RefSeq, a predicted model, not a curated record
CUGGCUUUCCUCUGCUUUCCUCUGUCUCAUUUUUCUGUGAGACAGUGCUUAAUUUAACUAUUUUAAUUAGUUUCUAGGACUGCAUUCAUCUCUGAGAACAUGCUGCCCCAAUGCUUCCAGCACAGGCCACUGAAGGUGGUUUCGAAGUGGCACUGCUGCAGCUGUCUCCUACCUUUGCAGUGGCUCAUUUUCCUGCUCAGCUGUGCUCUCUAGAGAAAAGACUGGAUGCCAUAUGGGUUCCCAUCAGCCAUGGGCACACUUCUGGACAGCCACUUCUCCCCUGUCUGUACUCACCAGGCCUACUCGGAAGCAAAGAUCAUUCUUCUUGUGCAAACAAACCUACUGGAGUAAACACCAUCUCCUUGGCUCAAUGUGCUUAUAUUGGCUUGCUGACCGUAGAGCUGUGUGCCUGGCCUUUGAGCUCUGUGCUUGGAAGACACCUCUGUGCCACAUUCUGGCUCUUCCUGUAUCUGUUCUGUCUAUGCUGUAUCUUUCUGUCCCUUUGAGCAGGCAAGUGUGAAGUAGAAAUGGCAAAUUAUGCUUCAGGAAAAACUCGGGUGCCUGAUUGUGUGUGCUCAGUCUGGACUUAAUUCUUCAGUUAUUCUUGC